CCGUGUUGCGAUGACUCCCAAACCGUCACAUAUCACCGAUGCUUAUCAUCGCAAGUGCUAUAAAAAUGGCAAGCGGUCUGAAUCAGACCCGUUCUUGUGUGAUAACCGUUCGCUGUUUAGCUCUGCAUCCCUGCCCAAUUCGCCUUUUUGAACCGAUAGGUCCUGAUCACCUGGUCACCUCUCUACUUCCUAUCAAAAGACACAGGAGAGGGCAGAGUUGGUCAGACUGGUCGAAAUGCAUAUGGUCUAAGUUGCCACAUGAAUGGGACAGUCUACUUUCCUUUCUUUUACUGCCUUUUAUGUAUGUGAUGGUGCUGAUUAUAUGUGAUUUCGUUUCGCAAGGAUCUGGUAAAAAGAAGGCCAGAGAUGCUUUUUCAUAUCACGCGGCAGCGGUUGCGAUGUAACGGUCGUUCUGUGAUAUGUAACUUUUAAAGAUCGCCGCAACACGGUUAUAAUGUGAUUUCAUGCCAGCCAGAUCUCCCUGUGUCAUAGCAUUGUGUGAUUGAUGAUAUAUAUUUUUGGGGAUUUGUAUGGUGCUGCCCACCGUGCUGGGAAGAGUAAAUACGGAUAUUUACGUCUUCCCGUUUUCUCCUGUAUUUCCGGUAUAGAUAGAGGUAGUAGGCCUCACGUAGAUCACGGCCUACAUUGCAUGGUAGCAGAGCGUGACGUUUUACGGAAGAUCAGCGCGUGGAGUCCGUCCCUCCGGAUUCUACACGUCAUCGCAGACGUCCGUCAUCCCUGGUGCGCGAAAGAUCGCUAAAACUGGUCACCAGGUUCAGCGAGGAGCAGCUCAGGAUCGUGAAGAAGAAACCACAGAGCGGAAACGUGGAGACAUAGUCAAUGACGGUGUCGAAAUGGGGAUACGCGGUGAAAAGCAUUGUUCCACAGUUGGCCCGUAAAAACACAAGGCACCCCAUGCGCACAACGGCAAUACGGCGUCUCUGCCGGCAGCGCUCUUGGGUUUCCGGAGCAGGAGUUCCAUCGUCUAUGGAACCCGUUGGCGGUUUCGAAUAGAACUAUUGACUCGCUUCACUUACGGAUCUCCCAUGCCACGGAACACCAGAACGGCUUGCGAUGGCGGAUUAAUAACACGGAAAAGGGACAGAGUGCUGCACGUGAUUAACAGGAACAGCGAGACUAAAUAUGCCGGUAGAACGGGCGCAGUGGUGUUGCCGGUUGUCAGUUUGAACAAAACGAUAGCCAGUGGUGAUCUUGCCAGUGUGACUUCUCAAGAGUUAGCAGUCAGACCGCUAGCAGCAUCGGUACCAUUUCCCGUUUAAGCGCUAAAGUGCAUACCAUGGCCCAAAACAUCACAAAACAUUUUCUGUUGAUUUCCAUCCCGGGAUUCGGACACACCAUCCCGAUGGUGGGAUUGGCCCGAAAACUGGCAGCGCGUAAUCAUCAAGUCACCUUUGUCAUCUGCAAAGCUGCCGUGGAACAUAUUCGAAAGAAGAGCGAAAUCACUCCGGAGGAUGAGAAAUCCAUCCAUCCAUCCAUCCGGAGGAUGAGAAAUCCAGCAAAGGGCGUCUAUGCUCUAUACUGGGUGGCGGACACCCAAUACACACCCAUGAGCAGGUCAGUUCAGAUGGGACUAGAGCAUACGGCUCUGCAGCGCCAUUUGUAUCAGAUCAGCAUCCGUCUUCGGAUCAAAAAGAUCGAAAUCCUUGAUCAUGGGAACGUCAGGCAUGAUGGCAGCCAGGGGGAACAAAACAGGAGCAACCACAAUUCGUCCCAACUAGCAGCUGCGCUCUUCAGCACAACACUGCAACUCGACGAAUGUGGGUUGUCACGGCUUUCCAGAUGGCAGAUUGUCGAAGCAAAAAAACAACUGGACAGAACUAAUUGUAAAGCAGACUUGAGACUGGAUUAGCCAUCAGACAAUGGACGGCAAUGCGAUCGGUGAUACGUGAUUCGGGACAGUCAGCAGGCUCUACGGUGUCUGCAGACUGCAGCAUAUAAAAAUGGCCGUCAUGGAGCACAACUGAGUAUCUAUUACGCCAUUGAAUUGCACAUUGGCUUUGGUUUGUUGGUUAACCUUGCAUAAACAUCGACGAUGAAAUCAGAUGCUGCUAGCCUCACGGCCCAUUUGUACAAACGCUAGAGAAACAUGUGUGAAAAGCGUUUGGCUCAUUAGAUGCGAAAAUGUCGCUGAUUACACAACAUCUACCCGCCAACGUAAUGCAGUGCAGCUUUUUGCAACAACAUUGCGAGGCGCUGCCUCAGUGGAUCACACUCACAGAGCCGAGCAGUGGCGUGCAGUGCCGAAGCUGAGUGCACACUGCACAGCAACGUUACGUGCGGUUUACUUAUAUAAGUUUUUGUAGUGCGGUGUGCACGGCACUGCGCCAAUAACGUAAGUGCAUUAAAAUUGUGAUU
Molecule: long non-coding RNA, 2376 nt
Organism: Paramacrobiotus metropolitanus
Lineage: Eukaryota; Metazoa; Tardigrada; Eutardigrada; Parachela; Macrobiotidae
Exons: 5
Source: RefSeq, a predicted model, not a curated record